Long non-coding RNA from Ictalurus furcatus (blue catfish), 552 nucleotides. RefSeq lists it as uncharacterized. Lineage: Eukaryota; Metazoa; Chordata; Actinopteri; Siluriformes; Ictaluridae. The transcript has 4 exons. The record is from RefSeq and is a predicted model, not a curated record.
GAUCUGGACCUGCAGGUCCACCCGAGCCAGCUCCAUCAACCCGUUCCCAAAACUGAACUGAGGGAACACCAGGAACACGUUGCUGAGGGUGUGGUACACCGCCUGGAUGUUCUGAAAAACAAGACGUAAUGGCGUGGAAGUACACGAUGGCCGUGGAGAUGAUGGUGUUCAUGCUGAUGAAGAGGUUGAUGCACACGUAGCAGAUGAAGGCCAUCUCUGCGUCUUUGAACACGGUCGACACCAGCCUCUUAGAGCCGGUGUGAUGCUCCUGAACCUCGUAGAUGACGAAGCUGGCCGUCAUGAUGGAGAACCCGGUGAGGACGCACAUCGCCACCAGGAGGUUGACCAAGUUGCGAACGCUGAGGGAGAAAAGGUUUACUCGGAUACGACUCUAAGCUGAGCUUUACAUCUUGAGCGUGGGCUUUCUGAAGCGGUAAAAUGCUGAUCCGAAGAUUAAUCAAGCACGCGCUUAAGAACUUGGUGCCACGACCCAGAUGGCUCGCUAAAACCUCCCUGGUGAGUUACGCCGUUAUUUACGAACUAGAUGGAAAG